RNAcentral lists this non-coding RNA (26 nucleotides) under Drosophila melanogaster (fruit fly). The record is from RNAcentral. Lineage: Eukaryota; Metazoa; Arthropoda; Insecta; Diptera; Drosophilidae.
CAAGAGAAAAUAUAACGACCGGUGGA